Molecule: long non-coding RNA, 375 nt
Filed under: Gossypium barbadense (sea-island cotton)
Lineage: Eukaryota; Viridiplantae; Streptophyta; Magnoliopsida; Malvales; Malvaceae
Description: long non-coding RNA (GBAR_LNC001835)
Source: RNAcentral
GUAAUUUGGUGGGCAUGGGCAUCAUUCCACUAUGCUUCAAACCUGGAGACGAUGCUGAUACACUUGGGUUGACAGGCCAUGAGCGCUAUACUAUCAAUCUUCCCAACAGCGUUAGUGAAAUUAGACCUGGUCAAGAUGUCACUGUGGCUACAGACACCAGCAAGUCAUUCAGCUGUACUGUACGGUUUGAUACAGAAGUAAUAAAACACAAUUUAGUCAAUUCUCGCCUUGUUCAGUUAUUCUUAUAAGAGCUCUCAGCAGCUCCUGGAAUUUCCUGCCCAGCUGAGGCUUUGUUUUCUUAAAUGUAGGUGGAACUGGCUUAUUUCAACCAUGGCGGCAUUUUACAGUACGUCAUCAGGAACUUGAUUGGAUCAA